Molecule: transfer RNA, 70 nt
Filed under: Marmota monax (woodchuck)
Lineage: Eukaryota; Metazoa; Chordata; Mammalia; Rodentia; Sciuridae
Description: tRNA.Val
Source: RNAcentral
GUAUAUAGUUCAGUUAGUAGAAUGAUUGCCUCACAUGCACGAGGCCCUAGGUUCAAUCCCCAGCACUACA